This is a long non-coding RNA of Neopelma chrysocephalum (saffron-crested tyrant-manakin), 253 nucleotides long. RefSeq lists it as uncharacterized. The record is from RefSeq and is a predicted model, not a curated record. Lineage: Eukaryota; Metazoa; Chordata; Aves; Passeriformes; Pipridae. The transcript is spliced from 3 exons.
UCUUGAGUUCAUUACUUUGUCUCUGAUAACAGAUGGUGUUUUCACAGAGUCAUUUCCAUAAGGAUUAUGUAAGACAACAGAAAUAAUAUCAUGACGGGUUGCCAUUUCUCAUGACUAAGUCAUAGGAUUAAAUCACAAGGAAAGAAAAGCAAGAUGAUCUGCACAGGCAUUUCUGCAGACUUGCUUACUUUCAAGUGCUUAGAAUACUCUCAGAUUGAAUAAGAAAGUGAUCAGUAUGUAUUUUACUCCUGAG